GCAAUUUGAAAAGUGUCUCUCGCUCGGAUUCGAACCUGGGACGAAUUUGAAUUCCCAGCGCGCGCUUCCUAAAACGACAUCGUAUUAGCUUAACCCUAGCGCCCAACAAUUCCAGAUUUCGUAGCAAACAGAUGAAUUUUUCCUAGCUAAAUGGUAGCGAAAUCCUAGCAGUUCUGGAAACAACAUGAAGCUCAUACGUGG
RNAcentral lists this long non-coding RNA (201 nucleotides) under Lathyrus oleraceus (garden pea). RNAcentral describes it as "Pisum sativum (pea) long non-coding RNA (PSAT_LNC022676)". The record is from RNAcentral. Lineage: Eukaryota; Viridiplantae; Streptophyta; Magnoliopsida; Fabales; Fabaceae.